CACUCCUACGGGAGGCAGCAGUGGGACUCCUACGGGAGGCAGCAGUGGGACUCCUACGGGAGGCAGCAGUGGGACUCCUACGGGAGGCAGCAGUGGGACCCACUCCUACGGGAGGCAGCAGUGGGACUCCUACGGGAGGCAGCAGUGGGAUCUCCUCCGGGAGGCAGGAGAAAGACUCCUACGGGAGGCAGCAGUGGGACAGUUGGCUCUGAAUCAAUGCUGGCGGAACUAUCNUNCUUNAAAUCGNAGGGNUGAAUCU
This 259-nucleotide unclassified non-coding RNA is filed under the name uncultured bacterium. Its description in RNAcentral is "partial contains 16S ribosomal RNA and 16S-23S ribosomal RNA intergenic spacer region". The record is from RNAcentral.